This 717-nucleotide ribosomal RNA is filed under the name uncultured bacterium. RNAcentral describes it as "bacterial SSU rRNA". It matches the Rfam family "Bacterial small subunit ribosomal RNA", at positions 98 to 811 of the family's 1533-position model. The record is from RNAcentral.
GCGCACGGGUGAGCAACGCGUAUGCAACCUGCCCUCCACAGGGGGAUAGCCCGCCGAAAGGCGGAUUAAUACCCCAUCGCCCCCGGGGCCCGCAUGGGUUCCGGGGUAAAGGAUUUAUCCGGUGGAGGAUGGGCAUGCGUGCCAUUAGCUGGUUGGCGGGGUAACGGCCCACCAAGGCGACGAUGGCUAGGGGGUCUGAGAGGAUGGUCCCCCACACUGGUACUGAGACACGGACCAGACUCCUACGGGAGGCAGCAGUGAGGAAUAUUGGUCAAUGGGCGGAAGCCUGAACCGGCCAUGCCGCGUGCAGGAAGACGGCCCUACGGGUUGUAAACUGCUUUUCCGGGGGAAGAAUAAGGGCGAUGCGUCGUCCGAUGCCGGUACCCCGGGAAUAAGGAUCGGCUAACUCCGUGCCAGCAGCCGCGGUAAUACGGAGGAUCCGAGCGUUAUCCGGAUUUACUGGGUUUAAAGGGUGCGUAGGCGGGCGCCUAAGUCAGCGGUGAAAGGCUGCGGCUCAACCGUAGGAUGGCCGUUGAUACUGGGCGCCUUGGAUUCGGUCGAGGCGGGUGGAAUGCGCGGUGUAGCGGUGAAAUGCUUAGAUAUCGCGCAGAACGCCGAUUGCGAAGGCAGCUCGCCAGGCCGAGAUUGACGCUGAGGCACGACAGCGUGGGGAUCGAACAGGAUUAGAUACCCCGGUAGUCCUGGCCGUAAACGAUG